This 1060-nucleotide long non-coding RNA is filed under the name Homo sapiens (human). RNAcentral's name for it is "HSALNT0388387". Lineage: Eukaryota; Metazoa; Chordata; Mammalia; Primates; Hominidae. The record is from RNAcentral.
GCCAGAGAUUCCUAUCGGGAGAGGGAAGACUUUACUUUUGAAGAGGAAAAGUACUUAACUCCUAGAGGAAAGCGUCAUUCCUGAGGUUUACCCUCAUGGUCUGGAGACAAACACGUGGGACUUUUCUUUUUUGUGUGUGUUUCUAAUAGUGGAAGAAAAGGAAAGCCAGGCUAAGCAGAGAAAAGUGGAAGAGGAGACACAGCAGCUCAUUCUUUCCCAGUAGCCGUUAGACUGAUUGCGGAGGGGAAGGUCAAAAGAGAAGUUCACAACUAUGAUACCAGCUCUAGAGGCGAAAGAACAACUGAGAGAGAACUAUCCAAGAAGUGUUUGGAUCCCGAAGCACAAAGGUAGACUUACAAAGGAUGAAAUUGAUCUCUACUACUAAGUGGAUCCAUCUUCAAGAGAGGGCGUUCAGAACACCCGGAAAGAUAAGAAAGAACAUGUUAGGACUUCCUCACCUCCUUGGGACAUGGUUAUGAAGAUGAGAGUAAAUGACACGUCACUUCCGGACAGAAUCUUUCAGAGUCAACUUGCAAUUCACGAUGUCCCUGUCUCUGCCUUAAUCAUAGUGGAAGCACCUGCUGAGAUGGAAGUUUCCUCAGCCUGGUCUCUGAGGGUCUAUGAUGAGCAGUCUUCCCUAGUAUCCGCUUUGGAGAAAUAGAUCUUAACUGAAUUAAGAUACUGAGGUUUGGCAUUAUUUAUUUAUGUAUCUAUUUAUUUACUUGUAACAUCUUUGUUAGAUUUUGGUAUCUGGUUAUUGCUAGCCUCCUCAAACAAACUGAGAAGAGUUCUUUCCUGCUCUAUUUUCUGAAAGAAUUUGCUUAAGAUUUGUGUAACUUCUUUCUCAAAUGUUUGAUAGAAUUCACCAGGGAAACUAUCUGGGCUAGGAGCUUCCUUCCUCUUUCUUUCUUCUUUGUCUCUCUUUCUGUCUUUUCUUUCUUUUCAAAAGCUCUACUUAUAUAGCAUUGACAUUUAAAAAUUGUACAUAUUUAAGCUGUACAACUUGAUUUAACUCUAAACAAUAGUUUUAUUUAAAUAAUAUUUUUUAUUAUACUUUAAG